RNAcentral lists this ribosomal RNA (332 nucleotides) under uncultured bacterium. RNAcentral describes it as "bacterial SSU rRNA". It matches the Rfam family "Bacterial small subunit ribosomal RNA", at positions 568 to 898 of the family's 1533-position model. The record is from RNAcentral.
CGUGUAGGUGGGAUGUUAAGUCUGAUGUGAAAGUCCUCGGCUCAACUGAGGGAAUGCAUCUGAAACUAACAUUCUUGAGUGCAGGAGAGGAAAGCGGAAUUCCUAGUGUAGCGGUGAAAUGCGUAGAUAUUAGGAGGAACACCAGUGGCGAAGGCGGCUUUCUGGACUGUAACUGACACUGAGACGCGAAAGCGUGGGGAGCAAACAGGAUUAGAUACCCUGGUAGUCCACGCCGUAAACUAUGGAUACUAGGUGUAGGAGGUAUCGACCCCUUCUGUGCCGGCGUUAACACAAUAAGUAUCCCACCUGGGGAGUACGGCCGCAAGGUUGAA